UACGGAGGGUGCGAGCGUUGUCCGGAAUCACUGGGCGUAAAGGGUGCGUAGGCGGGUCUUUAAGUCAGGGGUGAAAUCCUGGAGCUCAACUCCAGAACUGCCCUUGAUACUGAAGAUCUUGAGUUCGGGAGAGGUGAGUGGAACUGCGAGUGUAGAGGUGAAAUUCGUAGAUAUUCGCAAGAACACCAGUGGCGAAGGCGGCUCACUGGCCCGAUACUGACGCUGAGGCACGAAAGCGUGGGGAGCAAACAGG
RNAcentral lists this ribosomal RNA (253 nucleotides) under uncultured bacterium. RNAcentral's name for it is "partial 16S ribosomal RNA". It matches the Rfam family "Bacterial small subunit ribosomal RNA", at positions 524 to 776 of the family's 1533-position model. The record is from RNAcentral.